Molecule: ribosomal RNA, 459 nt
Filed under: uncultured bacterium
Lineage: Bacteria
Description: partial 16S ribosomal RNA
Rfam family: Bacterial small subunit ribosomal RNA
Source: RNAcentral
CCUACGGGUGGCAGCAGUGAGGAAUAUUGGUCAAUGGGAGAGAUCCUGAACCAGCCAAGCCGCGUGAGGGAAGAUGGCCCUAUGGGUUGUAAACCUCUUUUGUCGGAGAACAAUACCCGGGACGUGUCCCGGACUGCGUGUAUCCGCAGAAAUAGCCUUGGCUUACUCCGGUCCAGCAGGCGCGGUAAUACCGAGGCGUCGAGGGUUAUCCGGAUUUAUUGGGUUUAAAGGGUGCGUAGGCGGACUGGUAAGUCAGCGGUAAAAUUGCGGGGCUCAACCCCGUCGCGCCGGUGAAACUGGCAGACUUGAGUGGGCGAGAAGUACGCGGAAUGCGCGGUGUAGCGGUGAAAUGCAUAGAUAUCGCGCAGAACUCCGAUUGCGAAGGCAGCGUACCGGCGCCAGACUGACGCUGAGGCACGAAAGCGUGGGGAUCGAACAGGAUUAGAUACCCUAGUAGUC